UAGUCAUAUGCUUGUUUCAAGGACUAAGCCAUGCAUGCCUCAGAAUCACUGCACUGCAGGAAUCUGCGCAUGGCUCAUUACAUCAGACGUAAUCUGCCGCAAAAAUCUUGCGGUCUCCGCAUUAUUGGAUACCUUGGCGAAACGCCAAGCUAAUACAUGAAUUACGGGGUAUCCUCCACUCCAACCGGCCGUCAAAAGCUGGUGCGAGGUGCCUUGCGAAUGAAUGAAAUUAAGACCAUCGCCGCGCAAGCGGCAGCAACACAAGCAGUGUUGACUCAAUUCAUUCUGCGAAAGCCGAUCUAUCGGCGUCUUUUGAUGAACAACUGCCCUAUCAGCCGUGAUGGCCGUGUAGUGGACUGCCAUGGCGUUGACGGGAGCGGGGGAUUAGGGUUCGAUUCCGGAGAGGGAGCCUGAGAAAUGGCUACCACUUCUACGGAGGGCAGCAGGCGCGUAAAUUGCCCAAUGCCAAAACAAAUGGUGAGGCAGCGAAAAGAAAUAGGUCUUCCACACCUCUUUACGGGGUCUGGGAGUUUGCAAUGGGGGAUAUCUAAAGCCAUCCAAUAUCGAGUAACGAUU
RNAcentral lists this ribosomal RNA (576 nucleotides) under uncultured eukaryote. Its description in RNAcentral is "bacterial SSU rRNA". It matches the Rfam family "Eukaryotic small subunit ribosomal RNA", at positions 21 to 549 of the family's 1831-position model. The record is from RNAcentral.